This 161-nucleotide non-coding RNA is filed under the name Solanum tuberosum (potato). Its description in RNAcentral is "rRNA SSU_rRNA_eukarya". It matches the Rfam family "Eukaryotic small subunit ribosomal RNA", at positions 1667 to 1823 of the family's 1831-position model. The record is from Rfam by way of RNAcentral. Lineage: Eukaryota; Viridiplantae; Streptophyta; Magnoliopsida; Solanales; Solanaceae.
CACUGCAUGUUGCUCCUACCAAUCAAAUGAUGUGGUGAACUAUUUAGAUCGCAAUGACAUGGGUGAUUCGUUGCCCACAAUGUCGCGAGAAGUACAUUGAACUUUAUCAUUUAGAGGAAUGAGAAGUCGUAAUAAGGUUUAAGUAGGUGACCAUGCAGAAG